Molecule: long non-coding RNA, 1740 nt
Organism: Equus caballus (horse)
Lineage: Eukaryota; Metazoa; Chordata; Mammalia; Perissodactyla; Equidae
Source: Ensembl
UCUAAGCAGUGUAGGCCCAGUAACCAUUUUUUGAAGCCAAGACCUAAACAUCAGAUGGGAAGUCUGACUAGAACUUUUAAGGUGCCGGUCCAGUGAUAAGAUACUAUGGCUCAGUGGUAAAACUGAAGAGAAAUCUUGGGAAAAGGAGAAGGCAUGUAAUUCCAUCUGAAGGAUUUAUGCUAGUUCAAGAGAUAAGAGGAGCCAUUUUCUUCUCAAGCUUCUCAUGCAACUGAUUCAGAGGAAGAAAUAGCUAUCUGCCCAAACCCUUAGUCAUGGAGGCUCCCUCACUCCCUUGUGCGACUGACUGGUUAAGUUAAAGUAAAUGCAGUAGAUCACAUCAUGUCAUAAAAUGAAUUUUUAAGAAUUAAAAGCACGGGGAGCCAAAGAGGAGACAACAGCAACAAAAUUUGAGAAGUUUUAGCUGGAAAAGUGGAAGAGUGGUAAAAGAUGUAGUAGACUAACAAAACUGAAUCUUAAGGCAGAAAUGAAGUAAAUCAAUAACCAAACCCAUGUAUACUGCACUGUCACCAAAAGACUCAUAACUGCCAGCUCCCGGUUCCUCUUGAAGUGAAGUGAGGAAAGGGGGAAGUACUAUAAGGAGGAUUGGUUGCAAAUCUGUUUAAUAAGAGGCAAUCAGAUCCCCCAGAUUCCCUUCUCGGCUCCAUGUAGUCAAGCAAACAAACCUCCUCACUUACCUGGGCAAAAUACUACAAACUUCCUCUCUGCAGAUGGUGAUAUGGCAGGUCUCUAGAGGGUAGGGGGAUUAAGUGAACAUUUGUAUAUUGGAUGCUGAGGACCCCAAAUUUCUUCACCAACUUGGCUCCCAGAUUCCAGUCAUGAAGCUUUCAACUUCCAAGGAAGAGAUUAGAAGAUCCUUCUAUGUGGAGUCUGAUCAACUCAAGAGGAAGGAUCUGAAGACACUGACAUGGAAGGUUCCCCAACUAUAAGCCCCAACAAAUCACUCUACAGGGAAGUUGACAGCUGACAACCCCCCACCCAUUCACUCAGAGUUUCCCAUAAGCAUUUUGAGGCCCUAUUCUUAAAUAUGAGCAGACAACAAAGGAUGAUCAGACAUGUGAGGGAAGCUACUAUUAUGUGAGACAUUUAGAGCACUUAGAAUUGAAAACAGGAGAGUAUAAAUGGGAAAAAAAAAAAAAAAAAAAAAAAAAAACCUUGAUAAAAAGGAUUGGAAGAGAAAGUUAAGGAAAUGUUCUAUAAGGCAGAGCAAAAGGCAGAGAGGACCAGUUCAGGAAGUUCAAAAUCCAAACAAUAAGGGCUCCAGAAAGCAAGAUGAGGGGGAAAAAAUGAGGAAAAUCAUCAAUGGAAUAAACUAAGAAAUAUUUCCAGAAUUAAAGUACAUGAGUUAAUUAAUUAAAUCGGUUCCCCAAGUACCCACCACAGUGGAUAAAAAGAGAUCUAUACCAAAGCAUGUGAUCAGGAAAUUUGAGCACACACUAACCAAAGAGAAGACCUUCGAGCUUCUAGAGAGAACACAAAACAGAACAAAUACAAAGGACUAAAAAUCAAAAUGGCAUCCAUUAUUUAACAACACUGGAACCCAGAGUGCAAUGGAACAAGGCCUUCAAACAUCCUGAAGAAAAAAAAAUAUUUGCUAAAUGAAUUAAUAAUUUGGAAGUCUUUUAAAAAUAACUCUGUAUAUCAUUUUAAAACCAAAUAUUCCUCCUCUCUGGUUUGGGUCAAUGUGAGUUAGGGAUACAGAGAUAUACCCAACUGGGUCCC